CUCAGUUCGGAUCGGGGUCUGCAACUCGACCCCGUGAAGUCGGAGUCGCUAGUAAUCGCAGAUCAGCAACGCUGCGGUGAAUACGUUCCCGGGCCUUGUACACACCGCCCGUCACGUCAUGAAAGUCGGUAACACCCGAAGCCAGUGGCCUAACCCUCGGGAGGGAGCUGUCGAAGGUGGGAUCGGCGAUUGGGACGAAGUCGUAACAAGGUAGCCGUACCGGAAGGUGCGGCUGGAUCACCUCCUUUCUAAGGAG
Molecule: ribosomal RNA, 256 nt
Filed under: Pandoraea nosoerga
Lineage: Bacteria; Pseudomonadati; Pseudomonadota; Betaproteobacteria; Burkholderiales; Burkholderiaceae
Description: partial 16S ribosomal RNA
Rfam family: Bacterial small subunit ribosomal RNA
Source: RNAcentral